GGCACGGUGCGCUCGGCCCGCCCCUUUAUGGUGAGUGAGUGCUGAUGUGCGCCUGCCAUCCUUCUGGGGAGGACGUCUACCCUUCACUGGGCCGGGCGUUCGACCUAGAUCGUUUACUUUGAAAAAAUUAGAGUGUUUAAAGCAGGCAGAUUGCUCUGAAUACAUUAGCAUGGAAUAAUAAGAUAGGACUUUGGUUCUAUUUUGUUGGUUUCUAGGACUGAAGUA
RNAcentral lists this ribosomal RNA (225 nucleotides) under uncultured fungus. RNAcentral describes it as "partial small subunit ribosomal RNA". The stretch from base 103 to 225 matches the Rfam family "Eukaryotic small subunit ribosomal RNA", at positions 741 to 864 of the family's 1831-position model. The record is from RNAcentral. Lineage: Eukaryota; Fungi.